Molecule: transfer RNA, 87 nt
Filed under: Rhodospirillaceae bacterium
Lineage: Bacteria; Pseudomonadati; Pseudomonadota; Alphaproteobacteria; Rhodospirillales; Rhodospirillaceae
Description: tRNA-Leu
Rfam family: tRNA
About the family: Transfer RNA (tRNA) molecules are approximately 80 nucleotides in length. Their secondary structure includes four short double-helical elements and three loops (D, anti-codon, and T loops).
Source: RNAcentral
GCCCCUCUGGCGGAAUUGGUAGACGCGCUGGAUUCAAAAUCCAGUUCUCGCAAGAGAGUGCCAGUUCGAUUCUGGCGGGGGGCACCA